RNAcentral lists this long non-coding RNA (790 nucleotides) under Homo sapiens (human). Its description in RNAcentral is "HSALNT0259653". The record is from RNAcentral. Lineage: Eukaryota; Metazoa; Chordata; Mammalia; Primates; Hominidae.
GCCUGGCUGGGUGAAUGCGACCAGGGCUGCCUGGCCCUUGCUGAGCUCCUUGGAUGGAAGAAGGAGCUGGAGGACCUUGUCCGGAGGGAGCACGCCAGCAUAGAUGCCCAGUCGGGGGCGGGGGUCCCCAACCCCAGCACUUCAGCUUCCCCCAAGAAGUCCCCGCCACCUGCCAAGGACGAGGCCAGGACAACAGAGAGGGAGAAACCCCAGUGACAGCUGCAUCUCCCAGGCGGGAUGCCGAGCUCCUCAGGGACAGCUGAGCCCCAACCGGGCCUGGCCCCCUCUUAACCAGCAGUUCUUGUCUGGGGAGCUCAGAACAUCCCCCAAUCUCUUACAGCUCCCUCCCCAAAACUGGGGUCCCAGCAACCCUGGCCCCCAACCCCAGCAAAUCUCUAACACCUCCUAGAGGCCAAGGCUUAAACAGGCAUCUCUACCAGCCCCACUGUCUCUAACCACUCCUGGGCUAAGGAGUAACCUCCCUCAUCUCUAACUGCCCCCACGGGGCCAGGGCUACCCCAGAACUUUUAACUCUUCCAGGACAGGGAGCUUCGGGCCCCCACUCUGUCUCCUGCCCCCGGGGGCCUGUGGCUAAGUAAACCAUACCUAACCUACCCCAGUGUGGGUGUGGGCCUCUGAAUAUAACCCACACCCAGCGUAGGGGGAGUCUGAGCCGGGAGGGCUCCCGAGUCUCUGCCUUCAGCUCCCAAAGUGGGUGGUGGGCCCCCUUCACGUGGGACCCACUUCCCAUGCUGGAUGGGCAGAAGACAUUGCUUAUUGGAGACAAAUU